AGCUCGUUGCAGAGGCAAAAGUCCCCCCAAAUCCACGUAGCACCCGUGCAAAGCGCCUGUCCCUGCCAGCUGCUCCGCGCCCCGUCACCACUCGCCUGGGAGCCUUCGUGUCCCCUGGCCGCGAGCGGAGCCGGUCGCCGCGGCCCUGGUGUUCGGUGCAAUGUGAGCGGAGCCCGGGCACCCGGGCAGGGACCGCUUUGAGGAUUUAUGGGUCUGGCUUAACUGGGGUAAUGCUCUGAGCAGGCGCUGCGCUCCCCGCGAUUAGCAGCUAAUAYGCGGAGGUUUGCGUUUUCUCAUGCUUGCGGCUAGGAGACCAACCAGACCGACGCGGGCCGAGGCGCGGGGCAGGUCUGCCGGGGGCCGGCUACCGCUGCAGAGCUGCUGCCCCUCUUGGUCCUGGCCCGUUCGGCUAAAAACCUGUCGCUUUCUUGCUGGUUUCGGCUGGGUUCCCGUCCUGUGUUUCCAUAACUYCGAGCCCUGAAAGCAGCCCGGGGGAUUUCCCUGCUGCCUGUUGACACUUUCACUCUCUGACCUGACACUUUCACUCCUUUCCUUGCCCRGAGUCCAGGCCGGGUCGGCUGCAGAGGGCUGGCGUGAGGAAAGGGCAUGUCUAGAGCGAACAGACCCUCCUGCCCUCCCGCAGUGUCCGCACCAGCAACGUUCAAAACCUGCGAGCGGCCACGUGGCUCCAUGGGGCAGRGGCCAAACCCCCCGGCGCUGCCGAGGCCCCGGGGCUCCGGCGUUUCCGAGGUGCCGAUCGCCGCGGGAUGCCAGCAGCGGGCAAGCAGGACCGGGCGCCGCUGGCGUGUGCAGCCCGCGCAGGACCGCGCCGUAGGCAGCCGUGCCCAGCGCCCACAGGCAGCGGCGAGGUCCGGGACGAAGAGGGAGGCUGCCGAGGUGCCGUUGGGCUCCUUCCACUUUGACUCGUGUUUCUGCAAAUUCAUAAGCCCCGCUGUGGGUCGGCUCGGCGGAAAGGGCAGGAGAAGCCGGUGGGUCUCAAACCUUGGCGGCACAGGGGCAGCGACGGCCACCCCCGGGGAUGCCCGCGUCCAGCGCCGGCUCGUGCAGGGCGCCACGGUGGGUGAUGCACUGAUGCUCCCCGCGGCCCCUCUGUCCCGGGGGCCCUCGGGCAAAGCCGGGGGCCGGGUUCGUCCCCCCUCGGGGCAGCGGGCGCCGGGGCCGCGUGGGCUCCCCGUGCAGGGGCUCCGGUUCGGGCGACGCAGCGGCUCUGCGGCUGCAGCUCUGCUCCGGGCGGGUGGAGGUGGGUGAUGCUCCGGCGCCCGCUCGGCGAAACGAGGACGAGCCCCCCGGCACGGGCGCUGGCUCGGGGUGUCCCUGCGAUUAACUGCAAGAAUAUGUAAAUGUAUAUACCGGUUGCCAUAGUUACCACGGGAAUUACAGCCGAGGCGGAGCAGCCCCAGCCCACAGCCCGGGUCGGGACGUGCAUCGCCGGCGCCUCGGGCGCUCUGCAAGGGGGAACCUCGCGCGGGGCCGUUGCAUCCGGGACGCCGCUGCCGGCCUUGGCCACGCGACAGCGCGACGCCGGCACGGCCGAGGGCUGUAACGGCAAGCGGUGUCCCAUGGAAAUCACGGGCAGCUCCGAUCCGCACCGCAGCCCUGGCGCUUGCAGGUGCUGCUGCCUUCUGGGGGCCACCCAGGCCUUGGGAAAAGCCCGGCCCGGCGGCUUGUUGCCGGCCAAUCCUCUAAAGCUGGGAGGGAAAAGGGGCUCCGGGAGCCGCCGAGCCGGGAGCGCUGCCGCCGGCUGCAUCAGUCACGUUGCAUCGCGCAACGGCGCUGCGGUGAGAUCUGCAUGUGCGGUUCUAAAAGGCAUUUUUAAACCUCCAUUAAAAAAAAGCUCUAAGAUAAACUGCCAAAUGCCGCGAAGCGGAGGGGAUGAGCUAAGGACGGAGGGAUGGAGGGGGCGAAGCGCAAUCCUGCUUAAUUUCCAUGACAGCAAUCUCUGCGGAGCGGCGCCAGGACGCAGCCGCGCCAGCGAGGCUUUUUAGGAAAACGUGUCGCGUGCUAAAAACGCUGCUUUGAGGUUCGUGCGCGACAUGUUUUGCAAAUCUGCCUUGAAACGAGGCGGUGGAUAGCGGCCGGGGCGGCGGGCGCAGAGCCGGCCCCGCAGCCCCCUCCCUCCGCGCCGGGCGCUCCUCUUCCCCGUUUCCUCGGCGUUUCGGGCCCUUCCGCACAUCAAUCUCUCUAUUUUUAUUUUGACAAAUGCAUGUUUCCAGGAAGCCGCCGGGGUCAGAGCAGCAUCUGUUGCUGG
Dromaius novaehollandiae (emu) is the source of this 2269-nucleotide long non-coding RNA. NCBI's taxonomy places the organism in Eukaryota, Metazoa, Chordata, Aves, Casuariiformes, Dromaiidae. The record is from Ensembl.